GCGCCCAUAGCUCAGGGGAUAGAGCAUUGGUUUCCGGUACCAAGAGUCGGGGGUUCAAAUCCCUCUGGGCGCGCUA
RNAcentral lists this transfer RNA (76 nucleotides) under Virgibacillus phasianinus. RNAcentral's name for it is "tRNA-Arg". It matches the Rfam family "tRNA". Rfam says of the family: Transfer RNA (tRNA) molecules are approximately 80 nucleotides in length. The record is from RNAcentral. Lineage: Bacteria; Bacillati; Bacillota; Bacilli; Caryophanales; Bacillaceae.